This is a non-coding RNA of Phascolarctos cinereus (koala), 761 nucleotides long. Lineage: Eukaryota; Metazoa; Chordata; Mammalia; Diprotodontia; Phascolarctidae. The record is from RefSeq and is a predicted model, not a curated record.
ACUACAAUCUCUUUCUCACUAUUUAGCAAGUUUUCCUUGGAGCUGCCCCAGUGGAACUGUGCUACCUGGCCUGCUUGGAGCCAAGAAGGACUGAAUCCUCAAUAGCAUCUGAUCCUCCUAAAGGAAUUGGAAUCAGAGUGGAAACUUGAGAAAGUGACAAGAGAUUUUUGGGUCUGUUAGUGGGAAUCAACUGAUCUGCGGGGCUGCAACCCCAGACUGAAGAUUGCCCUUGUUUGUAAGUGUUCAUAAUGAUGCUUAAACUAUUACCAACAAUCAAUCUGGAGAUGCUUGACCUCUUCAUUUGGCAUAAAAAAACCAAUCCAUGAUUAUGGGGUGCUACAGGGUUCCCCAGCAAAAGGAAUUCCAGACCUUACAAUUGGAGACAAAGUCACAGGUAAUACUAAUACUACUGUGGGUUGUUGUGGCUUAUACAAAGAAAUGACAAACUUCAGUUAGAGGUUAAUAAAAAUAAAGAUAUAAUUUUUCCUCUUUCAAGUUCAGAGGUCCAUUGAAAUCAAUCCUUGGGGACAAGGGACCCAAGAUUAAGACCCUUGGUUUAAAGGAAGGGAAAAAAGUAAAGAUAUACCAAAACAAGGUUUUCCUGUCAGGAAGGUUUGAAUUGCAGUUCUGCCUCGGACACAAGUUGUGGGACCCUGGGCAAGUUCCUUAGAAUCUCUGUGAUUCAGUUUCCACAGCUGUAAAAUGGGGUUAAUAAUAGCACCUACCUCAAAGGGUGUUGUGAGGACCGAAUAACUUAACAU